This 582-nucleotide unclassified non-coding RNA is filed under the name Bartonella sp. RNAcentral describes it as "partial 16S-23S ribosomal RNA intergenic spacer". The stretch from base 162 to 235 matches the Rfam family "tRNA". Lineage: Bacteria; Pseudomonadati; Pseudomonadota; Alphaproteobacteria; Hyphomicrobiales; Bartonellaceae. The record is from RNAcentral.
UCUUAGGGAUGUUUUUCGUGAAUUCAGGAAUGGAUUUUUGAAAAAGAUAUAAGAGAGUAUUUCUCCUUUAAGAAUUGCUUUUAUUUAAAAGAAUGUGCUUCUCUAUGAGAGAGUGGCUAAUCUUGAAGAGUGCCGGGGAAGGUUUUCCGGUUUAUCCCGGAGGGCUUGUAGCUCAGUUGGUUAGAGCGCGCGCUUGAUAAGCGUGAGGUCGGAGGUUCAAGUCCUCCCAGGCCCACCAAUUUAGGUUUAUUUAACCCGCUGUUGAUGUUCUCUCCUUCAUGAGAAAAAGAUUUAAGGAGUGGAAACAACUUGUGGGAACCCCAAAUGCUCAAUAAGGCUUAAGACUCUUUAUAAAAUUCUCAGAGUUUCAUAAAAUUUUCAGAGUUUCAUAAAAUUUUUAGAGUUUCAUGGAGUUUUUAGAGUUUGUGUUCUCAGAGUUUGUCUUUUGAGAUUAUUGGCGAAAUCAUAGAGCUAUCAAGAGAGUUCAAGAGAGUUGAUGAAUGUUAAUUUGGGGUUUAGGUUAGCGCUUUCUUUUAGGGGCCGUAGCUCAGCUGGGAGAGCACCUGCUUUGCAAGCAGGGGG